CCCGCUGAACUUAAGCAUAUCAAUAAGCGGAGGAAAAGAAACUAACAAGGAUUCCCCUAGUAACUGCGAGUGAAGCGGGAAAAGCUCAAAUUUAAAAUCUGGCGGUUCUUGUAGCCGUCCGAGUUGUAAUUUAGAGAAGUGUUAUCCGCGCUGGACCGUGUACAAGUCUCCUGGAAUGGAGCGUCAUAGAGGGUGAGAAUCCCGUCUUUGACACGGACUGCCAGGGCAUUGUGAUGCGCUCUCAAAGAGUCGAGUUGUUUGGGAAUGCAGCUCAAAAUGGGUGGUAAAUUCCAUCUAAAGCUAAAUAUUGAGGAGAGACCGAUAGCGAACAAGUACCGUGAGGGAAAGAUGAAAAGAACUUUGGAAAGAGAGUUAAACAGUACGUGAAAUUGCUGAAAGGGAAACGCUUGAAGUCAGUCGCGUCGCUCAGGACUCAGCCUUGCUUUGCUUGGUGUACUUCCUGUUCGACGGGUCAGCAUCAAUUUUGGUCGGUGGAUAAAGGCUUAGAGAAUGUGGCAUCUUCGGGUGUGUUAUAGCUCUGGGUCGCAUACAUCGGCUGGGAUUGAGGAACUCAGCACGCCGCAAGGCCGGGGACUUGUCCCACGUACGUGCUUAGGAUGCUGGCAUAAUGGCUUUAAUCGACCCGUCUUGAAACACGG
This 659-nucleotide ribosomal RNA is filed under the name uncultured fungus. Its description in RNAcentral is "eukaryotic LSU rRNA". It matches the Rfam family "Eukaryotic large subunit ribosomal RNA", at positions 24 to 664 of the family's 3401-position model. The record is from RNAcentral. Lineage: Eukaryota; Fungi.